UACGUAGGGGGCGAGCGUUGUCCGGAUUCAUUGGGCGUAAAGAGCUCGUAGGCGGUUUGGCAAGUCGGGUGUGAAAUCUCUGGGCUCAACUCAGAGAGGCCACUCGAUACUGCUAUGACUAGAGUCCGGUAGGGGACCAUGGAAUUCCUGGUGUAGCGGUGAAAUGCGCAGAUAUCAGGAGGAACACCAAUUGCGAAGGCAGCUCGCUGGGACGUUACUGACGCUGAGACGCGAAAGCGUGGGGAGCAAACAGG
RNAcentral lists this ribosomal RNA (254 nucleotides) under uncultured bacterium. Its description in RNAcentral is "partial 16S ribosomal RNA". It matches the Rfam family "Bacterial small subunit ribosomal RNA", at positions 524 to 776 of the family's 1533-position model. The record is from RNAcentral.